UACGUAGGUGGCAAGCGUUGUCCGGAUUUAUUGGGCGUAAAGGGUGCGUAGGCGGUCUAUUAAGUUUAAGGUAUAAGUGCAAGGCUCAACCUUGAGGCUUUAGAAACUGGUAGGCUAGGGAUAGAUAGAGGCAAGUGGAAUUCCAUGUGUAGCGGUAAAAUGCGUAAAUAUAUGGAGGAACACCAGUGGCGAAGGCGGCUUGCUGGGUCUAUACUGACGCUGAGGCACGAAAGCGUGGGGAGCAAACAGG
Molecule: ribosomal RNA, 250 nt
Filed under: uncultured bacterium
Lineage: Bacteria
Description: partial 16S ribosomal RNA
Rfam family: Bacterial small subunit ribosomal RNA
Source: RNAcentral